CGGAGGAUCCGAGCGUUAUCCGGAUUUAUUGGGUUUAAAGGGUGCGUAGGCGGGAUAGUAAGUCAGUGGUGAAAGCCCGCAGCUCAACUGCGGAACUGCCAUUGAUACUGCUAACCUUGAGUAUGUAUGAUGUGGGCGGAAUGUGCAGUGUAGCGGUGAAAUGCUUAGAUAUUGCACAGAACACCGAUUGCGAAGGCAGCUCACAAAACCAUAACUGACGCUGAGGCACGAAAGCGUGGGGAUCAAACAGGAUUAGAUACCCUGGUAGUCCACGCCUUAAACGUUGAAUACUCGAUGUGUGCGAUAUACUGUACGCGUCUAAGCGAAAGUGAUAAGUAUUCCACCUGGGGAUACGCUCGCAAGAUG
RNAcentral lists this ribosomal RNA (366 nucleotides) under uncultured organism. RNAcentral describes it as "bacterial SSU rRNA". It matches the Rfam family "Bacterial small subunit ribosomal RNA", at positions 526 to 896 of the family's 1533-position model. The record is from RNAcentral.